ACGCUGGCGGCAUGCCUUACACAUGCAAGUCGAACGGCAGCACGGGGGCAACCCUGGUGGCGAGUGGCGAACGGGUGAGUAAUACAUCGGAACGUGUCCUGUAGUGGGGGAUAGCCCGGCGAAAGCCGGAUUAAUACCGCAUACGCUCUACGGAGGAAAGGGGGGGAUCUUAGGACCUCCCGCUACAGGGGCGGCCGAUGGCAGAUUAGCUAGUUGGUGGGGUAAAGGCCUACCAAGGCGACGAUCUGUAGCUGGUCUGAGAGGACGACCAGCCACACUGGGACUGAGACACGGCCCAGACUCCUACGGGAGGCAGCAGUGGGGAAUUUUGGACAAUGGGCGAAAGCCUGAUCCAGCAAUGCCGCGUGUGUGAAGAAGGCCUUCGGGUUGUAAAGCACUUUUGUCCGGAAAGAAAACGCCGUGGUUAAUACCCGUGGCGGAUGACGGUACCGGAAGAAUAAGCACCGGCUAACUACGUGCCAGCAGCCGCGGUAAUACGUAGGGUGCAAGCGUUAAUCGGAAUUACUGGGCGUAAAGCGUGCGCAGGCGGUCCGCUAAGACAGAUGUGAAAUCCCCGGGCUUAACCUGGGAACUGCAUUUGUGACUGGCGGGCUAGAGUAUGGCAGAGGGGGGUAGAAUUCCACGUGUAGCAGUGAAAUGCGUACAGAUGUGGAGGAAUACCGAUGGCGAAGGCAGCCCCCUGGGCCAAUACUGACGCUCAUGCACGAAAGCGUGGGGAGCAAACAGGAUUAGAUACCCUGGUAGUCCACGCCCUAAACGAUGUCAACUAGUUGUCGGGUCUUCAUUGACUUGGUAACGUAGCUAACGCGUGAAGUUGUCCGCCUGGGGG
Molecule: ribosomal RNA, 850 nt
Filed under: uncultured organism
Description: SSU rRNA
Rfam family: Bacterial small subunit ribosomal RNA
Source: RNAcentral